Molecule: ribosomal RNA, 325 nt
Filed under: Glissomonadida sp.
Lineage: Eukaryota; Cercozoa; Glissomonadida
Description: SSU rRNA
Rfam family: Eukaryotic small subunit ribosomal RNA
Source: RNAcentral
GAUUUCUGGUGUGAACAACCUGACCCAGCAUGCUUACAUGUUUGUGUGUCGGUGUUGAUCUGCCAUCACUUCUAGGGAACAUUCAUACUCUUCAUUGAGCUGUGAAUGAUUGUCUAGAUCUUUUACUUUGAAAAAAUUAGAGUGUUUCAAGCAGGCUUUUUGCUAUGAAUACAUUAGCAUGGAAUAAUAAUUUAGGACUUUGGUCUUAUUUUGUUGGUUUCUAGGACUAAAGUAAUGAUUGAUAGGGAUAGUUGGGGGUGCUAGUAUUCAGCGGCCAGAGGUGAAAUUCUUGGAUUCGCUGAAGACUAACUUAUGCGAAAGCAUU